GACGAACGCUGGCGGCGUGCCUAAUACAUGCAAGUAGAACGCUGAAGGAGGAGCUUGCUUCUCCGGAUGAGUUGCGAACGGGUGAGUAACGCGUAGGUAACCUGCCUGGUAGCGGGGGAUAACUAUUGGAAACGAUAGCUAAUACCGCAUAAGAGUAGAUGUCGCAUGACAUUUGCUUAAAAGGUGCAACUGCACCACUACCAGAUGGACCUGCGUUGUAUUAGCUAGUUGGUGAGGUAACGGCUCACCAAGGCAACGAUACAUAGCCGACCUGAGAGGGUGAUCGGCCACACUGGGACUGAGACACGGCCCAGACUCCUACGGGAGGCAGCAGUAGGGAAUCUUCGGCAAUGGACGGAAGUCUGACCGAGCAACGCCGCGUGAGUGAAGAAGGUUUUCGGAUCGUAAAGCUCUGUUGUAAGAGAAGAACGAGUGUGAGAGUGGAAAGUUCACACUGUGACGGUAUCUUGCCAGAAAGGGACGGCUAACUACGUG
This 495-nucleotide ribosomal RNA is filed under the name uncultured bacterium. RNAcentral describes it as "partial 16S ribosomal RNA". It matches the Rfam family "Bacterial small subunit ribosomal RNA", at positions 28 to 507 of the family's 1533-position model. The record is from RNAcentral.